AACGAACGCUGGCGGCAUGCCUAACACAUGCAAGUCGAACGAAGGCUUCGGCCUUAGUGGCGCACGGGUGCGUAACGCGUGGGAAUCUGCCCUUUGGUUCGGAAUAACAGCUGGAAACGGCUGCUAAUACCGGAUGAUGACGAAAGUCCAAAGAUUUAUCGCCAGAGGAUGAGCCCGCGUUGGAUUAGGUAGUUGGUGGGGUAAAGGCCUACCAAGCCGACGAUCCAUAGCUGGUCUGAGAGGAUGAUCAGCCACACUGGGACUGAGACACGGCCCAGACUCCUACGGGAGGCAGCAGUGGGGAAUAUUGGACAAUGGACGCAAGCCUGAUCCAGCAAUGCCGCGUGAGUGAUGAAGGCCCUAGGGUUGUAAAGCUCUUUUACCCGGGAAGAUAAUGACUGUACCGGGAGAAUAAGCCCCGGCUAACUCCGUG
RNAcentral lists this ribosomal RNA (433 nucleotides) under uncultured bacterium. RNAcentral describes it as "partial 16S ribosomal RNA". It matches the Rfam family "Bacterial small subunit ribosomal RNA", at positions 29 to 507 of the family's 1533-position model. The record is from RNAcentral.